RNAcentral lists this ribosomal RNA (1111 nucleotides) under Weyprechtia pinguis. RNAcentral's name for it is "partial 28S ribosomal RNA". It matches the Rfam family "Eukaryotic large subunit ribosomal RNA", at positions 104 to 843 of the family's 3401-position model. The record is from RNAcentral. Lineage: Eukaryota; Metazoa; Arthropoda; Malacostraca; Amphipoda; Calliopiidae.
AAAGCCCAUCGCAGAACCUCCCGGGCCACCCGGCCUGCGGCGGAAUGUUGCGUAAAGGGAAAGGUCGUAGUCAAACCCAACAGCCACGCGAUUCUCUAAGUCAGCCACGAAUCGGCUAUCCCAACUAACGGCGGGAAAGACUCCAUGGAGGGUGUAAGACCCGUAUGGGCGCGUGUAAAUGUUGUACGGGUUCGGCCUUUCCUUGAGAGUCGCGUUGCUUGAGCAUGCAGCGCUAAGCAGGUCGUAAACUCGAUCUAAGGCUAAAUAUAUCCACAGGACCGAUAGCAAACAAGUACCGUGAGGGAAAGUUGAAAAGCACUCUGAAGAGAGAGUCAAAAGACCGUGAAACCGCUCAGAGUAUAAGCCCAUGGUGUCUGGAAGGCUACUGUUGUAAUUCUCCCUUUUAAGGGAUAUGCUAACUGUCACAGAGACAAGGUUCGUCAGGGAGGCAUUGAGUUGAUAUCUCGCUGACGUGCGGGGGAGUUCGUUGGGGUUUGCGAUUGUCUUUCGGGAUGGUUGUGAGCUUCGGCGUCUUCCUUUUGAAUGGACGUUCAAGGUCUGUGACGGUCAACAGAAUAGCCCACCACAACUCGUUGUGAGGUCACCCACAGGCUCAAACAGUCGAUUGCGAGCCAACGUGCAGCGGUCGCAUCGGGAAGACUGCUGUUAUCGUUGGCUCGAGCGAUCCGAGAAUAACCUGGUAUGAUCCUCGUGCGACGAGUUGGUUCUGACCGGAAGCAUCUCCUCGGGUUUUUGUGUUGAUCGUUUGUGCCCGGCGUGAAGUCGAUCCGGAGUUGGUCCGUAUGGUGAUCAGUCCAGCCCCAUCGGUCACGUCUCGAAACACGGGCCAAGGAGUAUAGCAUGUGUGCAAGUCUAAGGGUCUCACAAAACCUGAAGGCGAAGUGAAAGCAAAGGUUGCGGCGGAGGAGCUUCGGCAAUUCCGUCAGCCAAAGGACGUGUCCUGGCUUAAGCAGAGCUGAUCCCGUUGAAGUUGGCAAUGUCCCGAAGCGGUCGCAAGCUCCAGGCUCACGCAUGCACGGUUGCGACUGUGUUGUGAGCACUGUGGAGCAUGCAUGCUAUAACCCGAAAGAUAGUGAACUAUGCCUGGCGA